GGUGAAUAUUUGUUACUGCAGUAUUAUAUGGACUAUUAUUUUUUCCAUUCUGGUUAUAUCAGUAAUGGCAGAUUAUCUAGACGACGAAAGCUUUGGUUUGGCUGAUAAUCCAAGCUGGUUGGAAAAAUCCGAACCCGAAGAAGUUAACGGUAAUUUGAUAAAUCCAGAAGAAGACCAGAUUAUUGUCGAUCGAAGAGGAUUCAACAGAUAUUUGUCCAAGCAUAAAGGUGUAAUUCCAUACUACUUGCAUAGAGACGGUAUUAAUUAUGGUGGUCGCCCGGGUCCAGCCUCAACCCGUCUCUGGGGAAGUCGUUUAUACGGAAUGUCUAGGAUGAGACCAAGUUUUGGACUCGUUUCUGUCAAUAGCCGAAGUGGACCUUUUGGUGUUAAAAAAUAGGCAAUUGUUGUGCGCAUGCCUGAAUGCGAAACAGGGAUCUGUAUAAAAGUUUAUUUGAUGUAAAGUUUGUCGACGGAUUAUAUUUUAAAUUUUGCAUUGAAACAAAUUUUGUUUCGUUAAGUGAAAAUAUUCCUUUGAUAAUUUCCUGCUUUAAAGCGAUUUGUUUUGUCAUGACCUGCCACUACAUUCCUAAUAAAACCAUAAUCAUAACAUUUUUCAAGAAUGAGGUUUUUUUUUGUAUUGUCGUUUUGUUAAUCUGUUUGAUAUCACGAUAUUAAUAGUUGAUUUAAUUUUUUCCUGAGAAUUUCAUACAACUUAGAUGAAUAAUUGUAGACAAGAAUUUUGUAAACUGGAGGUAUGGUGAUUAAUUGAAUGCCAGUUAUUUCUUUAUAAGAAUUAAUAGUUUACAAUUCAAUUUUGAUAACUUAUGGCUUCUCCAAUUUAAUGUGUAUUUUUAGACGUAGGAAAAUGAAAUCAAAUCAAAAUUACGCUAUAAGAUGUGUUACCGUUCACAUUAAAUAAGACAAUGUUGUGCAGAAUUGCUUUCGAUAUCCAGAACAGUUGUAAAUGACAGACAAAACCUACACCCCAUUUUUCAUUGAUGUGUCUUCUACUUUAAAAUUCUCGUACUAGUCUAACAGCUUUUGAUAUUUUAUGUAUAGCUUUAGGUAUGUAUUUACAAAUUUCAUGUAAUCCUAAUUUUAUGUUUAGUAAUACUGCAAAAAAACUCUAUGCAGUAUGUCUAAAAAUUGUCAACUAUAUCAAUACUGUUAAAUAAAAUGUGUAAGAAUAAAUUA
Molecule: long non-coding RNA, 1194 nt
Organism: Mytilus trossulus (common blue mussel)
Lineage: Eukaryota; Metazoa; Mollusca; Bivalvia; Mytilida; Mytilidae
Exons: 2
Source: RefSeq, a predicted model, not a curated record